GUCUAUGGCCAUGCCACCCUGAACAAGCCAGAUCCCAUCUGAUCUCGGAAGCUAAACAGCGUCAGGUCUGGCUAGUACUUGGAUGGGAGACCACCUAGGAAGACCAGGUGCUGUAGGCA
Molecule: ribosomal RNA, 119 nt
Filed under: Pteropus alecto (black flying fox)
Lineage: Eukaryota; Metazoa; Chordata; Mammalia; Chiroptera; Pteropodidae
Source: RNAcentral